AUGGCGGUGGAGGAGAUAACCGAGGGCGUGAGGGGCCUCAAGGUGGAGGACGGCGAGGGGGCGGCGGCCGCGGCCGACGCGCCGGCCGCCGCCGCCGGCGGGGAGGGGCAGAGGCGGGGCGCCAACAGCAGCAGCAACCGCAUCCAGGUGUCCAACACGAAGAAGCCCCUCUUCUUCUAUGUCAACCUCGCCAAGAGGUAUAUGCAGCAGCACGGCGACGUCGAGCUCUCCGCGCUCGGGAUGGCCAUUGCGACGGUUGUAACCGUGGCGGAGAUUCUGAAGAACAACGGCCUUGCUGUUGAGAAGAAGAUUAGGACAUCCACGGUGGAAAUAAACGACGAAUCGAGAGGCCGCCCAUUCCAAAAGGCUAAGAUUGAGAUAGAGUUGGGAAAGAGCGAGAAAUUCGACGAGUUGAUGGCCUCUGCUGCGGCAGAUGCCGAAGAAGGCGAGGAGGAGGCCUGA
Molecule: ribosomal RNA, 462 nt
Filed under: Triticum aestivum (bread wheat)
Lineage: Eukaryota; Viridiplantae; Streptophyta; Magnoliopsida; Poales; Poaceae
Description: partial small subunit ribosomal RNA
Source: RNAcentral